Long non-coding RNA from Rhipicephalus microplus (southern cattle tick), 352 nucleotides. The record is from RefSeq and is a predicted model, not a curated record. Lineage: Eukaryota; Metazoa; Arthropoda; Arachnida; Ixodida; Ixodidae.
UCGUUUGACCGCCGUUAAGAGGACAAAGAAGAACACGGUCGAGGCUCCAAAAGGAAAGUACAAUACGGAGAUGUCUCAGCAUGCUGCUUUAUUUGUGUACGCACUUUCUGCCCUAGUCAUCAUACUGAUUUCUGCUAUGGAUGCGGACGCUGCUCUCGCUCUCAACUAUGGAUCACAAAAAGCUAAGGAAUACUGGGAAAGCCAAGGCCGUGCAGAUGCUGUGUCAAAGCUGACGACUUGAAGACUGUUUACACGACUGGAAACAACAACAACGACAACCACAAACAACAAACAUACCUGCGAUGUUUUGGAAAGCUGGUAAAUAAAUGUCCUUGGUGGGCUCGUUGGAUGA